Molecule: ribosomal RNA, 369 nt
Filed under: uncultured bacterium
Lineage: Bacteria
Description: bacterial SSU rRNA
Rfam family: Bacterial small subunit ribosomal RNA
Source: RNAcentral
GACGGAGGGUGCAAGCGUUAUCCGGAAUUAUUGGGUUUAAAGGGUACGUAGGCGGUUAUGUAAGUCAAUGGUUAAAAACAUCAGCUUAACUGAUGGGGUGCCGUUGAAACUGUAUAGCUAGAGAAUGAACGAGGUGAGUGGAAUUCUGCAUGUAGUGGUGAAAUACUUAGAUAUGCGGAGGAACGCCGAUAACGAAGGUAACUCACUAGGAUCAUUCUGGCGCUGAGGUACGAAAGCGUAGGGAGCAAACAGGAUUAGAGGCCCUGGUAGUCUACGCUGUAAACGAUGGUCACUAGAUGUAUAUGAAGAGUAUGUAUCCAAGCGAAAGCGUUAAGUGACCCACCUGAGGAGUACGCUCGCAAGAGUGAA